UCCCUCGUUGAUUAAUGGUAAAUCACCCACCGACUUUGGGUUAUUCUUGAACCGCAUAAGGCUCAGUGGGAGACGGAGGUUCGAAUCCUCCCCAGGGCA
This is a non-coding RNA of Mycena rebaudengoi, 99 nucleotides long. The record is from the annotation of a GenBank genome assembly. Lineage: Eukaryota; Fungi; Basidiomycota; Agaricomycetes; Agaricales; Mycenaceae.